RNAcentral lists this ribosomal RNA (120 nucleotides) under uncultured bacterium. RNAcentral's name for it is "partial 16S ribosomal RNA". It matches the Rfam family "Bacterial small subunit ribosomal RNA", at positions 796 to 913 of the family's 1533-position model. The record is from RNAcentral.
CACGCCGUAAACGUUGGGCACUAGGUGUGGGGACUUAUCAACGGUUUCCAUGCCGUCGCUAACGCAUUAAGUGCCCCGCCUGGGGAGUACGGCCGCAAGGCUAAAACUCAAAGGAAUUGA